CCUACGGGAGGCAGCAGUGAGGAAUAUUGGUCAAUGGGCGCGAGCCUGAACCAGCCAAGUAGCGUGAAGGAUGACUGCCCUACGGGUUGUAAACUUCUUUUAUAAAGGAAUAAAGUGAGGCACGUGUGCCUUUUUGUAUGUACUUUAUGAAUAAGGAUCGGCUAACUCCGUGCCAGCAGCCGCGGUAAUACGGAGGAUCCGAGCGUUAUCCGGAUUUAUUGGGUUUAAAGGGAGCGUAGAUGGGUUGUUAAGUCAGUUGUGAAAGGUUGCGGCUCAACCGUAAAAUUGCAAUUGAUACUGGGAGGCUUGAGUACAGGUGAGGUAGGCGGAAUUCGUGGUGUAGCGGUGAAAUGCUUAGAUAUCACGAAGAACUCCGAUGGCGAAGGCAGCUUACUAAACUGCCACUGACAUUGAUGCUCGAAAGUGUGGGGAUCAAACAGGAUUAGAUACCCGAGUAGUC
This 460-nucleotide ribosomal RNA is filed under the name uncultured bacterium. Its description in RNAcentral is "partial 16S ribosomal RNA". It matches the Rfam family "Bacterial small subunit ribosomal RNA", at positions 338 to 795 of the family's 1533-position model. The record is from RNAcentral.